ACUCACAUCACUUUGGGACCUUUUUAGAAUGCAGAUUUUGAUUCAGUAGGUCUGGGAAGUGGGGUGGCAAGGUACUAUAUUUCUUUCAAGCUCUCAGGUGACAGUUAU
This 108-nucleotide microRNA precursor is filed under the name Marmota monax (woodchuck). The record is from RNAcentral. Lineage: Eukaryota; Metazoa; Chordata; Mammalia; Rodentia; Sciuridae.